RNAcentral lists this long non-coding RNA (866 nucleotides) under Marmota monax (woodchuck). The record is from RNAcentral. Lineage: Eukaryota; Metazoa; Chordata; Mammalia; Rodentia; Sciuridae.
GACAGAAAUUUACUUCUUACAGUUCUAGAAGCUGGGACUUCCAAGAUCCAUUCAGGAGACUCGUGUCUGAUGAGAACUUGCUCUCUGCUGAAAACAUGUCACCGUCUUGCUAAAUCCUCACAUGGAAGAAGGGGCAAGGACACUCCAUCUGAUUGCUUUUAAUAAGAGGAUCGACUCUCAUGAGCUCACCACCUCCUAAGGCCCUAUCUCUAAUACUAUCAUAUUGGUGAUUGAGUUUCAAUAUUUUGAGGGGAUACAUUCAGAACAUAGCAAACAGUAUGCAUCAGUUUAGAUUUUUCUCUGGAAUGGUUGAGGCCACAGGGUAGAUUAGGCAGAAUUAGAGUUUUACCAAGAGACUAUGAUAAAGUGAGAGGGAAGAAAAUAGAAUUGCACAAAUGUGCAAGGAGUAAUGACCAUGAUGGAACAUGGAAUUUAGACAAAAAGCCAUGGAGUAAGGGACAGCAAAAAGGUAAUAGAAUAAAUGAAACUGUUGUCUCAAUAAGAGUUAUUAGAAAUUACGUGCUUAAAACUGUGAUUUAUGCCUUUCUGUUAAUGGUAAUGGUUAGAUCUUCUAGGUCAUGAUCAUUCAUGUCACUGGGAAUACAAGAUUAUAGGAAAAGAAGAGCUCAAUAAACCAAGAGUCCAAGGCGAUGAAAGAAUCUUCCAUGUGGAUACUGAAGUAGAACUGAAUAGUGUCUGACAGUAGGUCAAACACUAAACAAGAGCAGGAGAGUCUAUAUUCUGAUAACACAGGUUUAAGGAUUAGGGUUUAUAGAGAAGAGAGAUUGUUUAGAAGUAGUAAUGAAAUGCAAAUGGGGUAUCUACCCAUUUCCAGGCCCAGUAAUGUGAAAGGUAUGGAAUAGGAC